This is a long non-coding RNA of Neofelis nebulosa (Clouded leopard), 916 nucleotides long. RefSeq lists it as uncharacterized. NCBI's taxonomy places the organism in Eukaryota, Metazoa, Chordata, Mammalia, Carnivora, Felidae. The transcript has 3 exons. The record is from RefSeq and is a predicted model, not a curated record.
GCCAGACAUAGAGGAGUGUACCUCACACUGGAGUCAUGGCCGUCAUCUCUAGCAUGCACUAGGUUUGUGCAAACUCAGUGUUUUGGACACUUGGCAUAAAAUAUUUUACUCGAUCCCGAAACAAACCAGAGAGAUUGUUCUAUCAUUGGCACUUAAGUUCUGCGCACUCUACGUUCUCUAACUGCAAAUGUGGAAAAAAAAAACAAAACACAUCUGUUUGCUGUGAUGGGAAACCAGACCACGCCAUCUGAUUAAAUUUACUUAGGAUUCUGUUGAAGCACCUCAGAGGUUUGGGCCCUGAUUCUCCUACUCUCGGGACCAUGAAGGGGACAGGAAUUCUUGCUUCCUGACAGAACUGGCCACACUGCCAGAGGAGCUGAGACUGAAGAGGGGGUGCCUGACAGAAGCUGGAGCCUCGGGGGAGCCAUGGUCAGAGAGGCCGCCCAAUCGCCUCCCAGUGACUUUCAUCGGAGAAAUUGGAGAAGAAAAUCUUUUCCUCUACCCUCUCAGGUUCAGUAACUGGGGGGCUGAGAAUUUAACUGACGAAAGGCAGAUUAACAAGAAAAAAAGGCAGCGUUAGUUUGAGUGUGCAAUCUGAUUAUAUGCCAGAAUGCUGUGAGGAGUAACUCAAAGAGGAGGUUAGAAUUUGGGAGUUUAUUUACCUAAGUUAGUAGGGGAAAGGAAGGCUGGAAAAAAAAGCUUCUAUUGGAAGAAUAGAUAGGUUUCUUUUUUUUUUUUUUAAUGUUUAUUUUUGAGAGAGAGAGAGGCAGAGUAUAAGCAGGGGAGGGGCAGAGAGAGAGGGAGACACAGAAUCUGAAGCAGGCUCCAGGCUCUGAGCUGUCAACGCAGAGUCUGAUGUGGAGCUCAAACUCAUGAACUCGAGAUCAUGACCUGAGCCGAAGUCAGACACUUAACU